GCAUGCAAGUCAGACGGAAUGUAGUAAUACAUUCAGUGGCGAACGGGUGAGUAACGCGUGGAUAAUCUACCUACGAGAUGGGGAUAACUAUUAGAAAUAGUAGCUAAUACCGAAUAAAGUCAAUUAAGAUGUUAGUUGAUGAAAGGAAGCCUUUAAAGCUUCGCUUGUAGAUGAGUCUGCGUCUUAUUAGCUAGUUGGUGGGAUAAGAGCCUACCAAGGCUAUGAUAAGUAACCGGCCUGAGAGGGUGAUCGGUCACACUGGAACUGAGAUACGGUCCAGACUCCUACGGGAGGCAGCAGCUAAGAAUCUUCCGCAAUGGGCGAAAGCCUGACGGAGCGACACUGCGUGAACGAAGAAGGUCGAAAGAUUGUAAAGUUCUUUUAUAAGUGAGGAAUAAGCUUUGUAGGAAAUGACAAAGCGAUGACGUUAAUUUAUGAAUAAGCCCCGGCUAAUUACGUGCCAGCAGCCGCGGUAAUACGUAAGGGGCGAGCGUUGUUCGGGAUCAUUGGGCGUAAAGGGUGAGUAGGCGGAUAUGCAAGUCUAUGUGUAAAAUACCACAGCUCAACUGUGGAACUAUGCUGGAAACUGCAUGACUAGAGUCUGAUAGGGGAAGUUAGAAUUCCUGGUGUAAGGGUGGAAUCUGUUGAUAUCAGGAAGAAUACCAGAGGCGAAGGCGAACUUCUAGGUCAAGACUGACGCUGAGUCACGAAAGCGUAGGGAGCAAACAGGAUUAGAUACCCUGGUAGUCUACGCUGUAAACGAUGCACACUUGGUGUUAAUCGAAAGGUUAGUACCGAAGCUAACGUGUUAAGUGUGCCGCCUGGGGAGUAUGUUCGCAAGAAUGAAACUCAAAGGAAUUGACGGGGGCCCGCACAAGCGGUGGAGCAUGUGGUUUAAUUCGAUGAUACGCGAGGAACCUUACCAGGGCUUGACAUAUACAGGAUAUAGUUAGAGAUAACUAUUCCCCGUUUGGGGUCUGUAUACAGGUGCUGCAUGGUUGUCGUCAGCUCGUGCCGUGAGGUGUUGGGUUAAGUCCCGCAACGAGCGCAACCCUUGUUGUCUGUUACCAGCAUGUAAAGAUGGGGACUCAGACGAGACUGCCGGUGAUAAGCCGGAGGAAGGUGAGGAUGACGUCAAAUCAUCAUGGCCCUUAUGUCCUGGGCUACACACGUGCUACAAUGGCCUGUACAAAGCGAUGCGAAACAGUGAUGUGAAGCAAAACGCAGAAAGCAGGUCUCAGUCCAGAUUGAAGUCUGAAACUCGGCUUCAUGAAGUUGGAAUCGCUAGUAAUCGUAUAUCAGAAUGAUACGGUGAAUACGUUCUCGGGCCUUGUACACACCGCCCGUCACACCACCCGAGUUGAAGAUACCCGAAGCUAUUAUUCUAACCCGCAAGGGAGGAAGGUAUCUAAGGUAUGUUU
RNAcentral lists this ribosomal RNA (1421 nucleotides) under Borrelia miyamotoi. RNAcentral's name for it is "bacterial SSU rRNA". It matches the Rfam family "Bacterial small subunit ribosomal RNA". The record is from RNAcentral. Lineage: Bacteria; Pseudomonadati; Spirochaetota; Spirochaetia; Spirochaetales; Borreliaceae.